AGUCCUGUGGUGUAGCGGCCAAUCAUCCGAGUCUUUGGAACUCGGGACCGCGGUUCGACUCCGCGCAGGACUA
Molecule: transfer RNA, 73 nt
Filed under: Halorubrum virus HRTV-11
Lineage: Duplodnaviria; Heunggongvirae; Uroviricota; Caudoviricetes; Thumleimavirales; Hafunaviridae
Description: tRNA-Gln
Rfam family: tRNA
About the family: Transfer RNA (tRNA) molecules are approximately 80 nucleotides in length. Their secondary structure includes four short double-helical elements and three loops (D, anti-codon, and T loops).
Source: RNAcentral